Athalia rosae (coleseed sawfly) is the source of this 1785-nucleotide long non-coding RNA. RefSeq lists it as uncharacterized. The transcript has 2 exons. NCBI's taxonomy places the organism in Eukaryota, Metazoa, Arthropoda, Insecta, Hymenoptera, Athaliidae. The record is from RefSeq and is a predicted model, not a curated record.
GAUUAUUUCUUUUUUGUCUUUUCGUCAUUUAAAAACCAUUUAUAAUUUCCAACUUCUUCCCUUUCAUCUCUCACACAUCUGCCCAGGCUAAACAUAUUAAUUCAUCUUUCUUUUUUUUUUUUCAUCUUCUUCGUUUGAUUUCUCUUCGAUAACUGUUAUCCUUUCGUGUUUUUUUUUUCCCCCCUCCCGCGAUAGUUGUACAACAAAUAUCAUUUAUUAUUCAUGAAUCGUAUGUGUGUAACGUUCGUCGCGAGAGGGUUGGGCGUUGAAACAUUACGUUAGCCACGAAGGCCGGACGACGAGCGAACCGAUAAGGAUCGUCUGCACCUGGAUAUUAUAGCUGAAUUAUUUAAUCGAUUCCCUCGCAGAUCAAUCAGGGCCAACGAUGUCGUUACCGAAGAGAGAAAAAAAAAAAAAAAAAACAAAGAAAAAUAAAAUAGCAAAAACGGAAUCGAAUUCACGUACGAAUAUCGUUCGUAAACCCGUACACUUGAAAUGUGUUGCAAUAUAACAACGUCAUAUAUAUACAUACAUUUAUCGGGAGAGUGAAAAAAAGAUAUUAUACAAAAAAAGGAAAAAUAAUCAGAAGGGGACUCUAGAGUCUGAUUACCGUGCAGGAUGAAAACUGCAGCGGAUACAAAACGUACAAAGUUUGUUAUAAAUUUACACCGUAUAUGAGUGUUAACCCUGCAGUGGAAUAACACAUGUUACAAUUUAUUUUUCUCCUCUUUCGUUCAACGAUAUUAAUUAAUGCGAUUGUGUGUGCGCCGUUUAAUUUCUUAUUAUUCUUACAUUAUCAUUAUUCUCUCUUUUUUGAAGUUUUUUUUUUUUUUUCUCUUUUUUUCUCUCUUUUUUCCAAGUCUCAUUAUACCGUAUCAGACAAUUGAACGCGUCCAACAGACUAGAAACAGACAUGGUUCGAUCAUCGCGCUGUACUGCUGUUGUAUCUUGUUCGUUAUUUCUUUUUUUUUUAUUAUUAUUCCAUAUCAUUUUUGUAUAUUCUCUUUUGUACAUCGCAUCACAUAUUAGCUGUUGCCAGCGAGCAACGUAUUAAAUGCAGAUGGAGAAUUUUAUACGAAGUCGGCUAUUUUAUUCCUGACAAUUAUUUAAUUGCAGUAACAGGUAAUCAUCGGAAUCGUCGUUAUCGGUCGACAUUUUACACAAAUGGGUGUACGUUAUAUUUUCUUUUUCAUUCUUUAUGCACAAACUGUAUGAAUUAUUCGUUCAUUUUUCACACAAACCCUGCAGUUUAAUAGGUUUUUAAUGAUCGAGUAAUAAGCUCGAUCGAUACUCGAAUGCACAUUCAUACAUCGUCGAUAAGGAGAGAAGAAAAAAAAAAAAAAAAAAAAAAAGAAGAAAAAAAAACUUCAUCUAUAUCUAUGUGGGUAAAGAAUUUUCUGUGCGAACGAUAUCGAUCUCUUUCUUUUACGAUGAUAAAGAGCGAGAUACGAAAGAUAACGCGAUCGUUGUUGCGGAUGAGGAGGGGGGAGGGGGGGGGGGGAAAAAAACCAAAAAUUUAUAAAAAAAAAUAAAAAAAGAAUGAAAAACUCGGUCGCAGGUAAAUUCUAAAAAUUACGUCAUAUCUCGUGUUUCGUGUAUACUUGUAUACGCGUACAUACGUUCGUCUAUGAUAGCCGAGAUAACAUCCCGUAUCUGAUACGAGGCGUAAUCCCGCGGAUAAUCCGGAAUGAAAAACUCCAUCGUCGAAACCUCGUGCUCGGAAUAUUUAUGAUUCAUCCACGUUAAAUAUCGGCCCCAAAAUCGAAUUGAAUCGUGGUAAGAAAA